RNAcentral lists this non-coding RNA (32 nucleotides) under Mus musculus (house mouse). Lineage: Eukaryota; Metazoa; Chordata; Mammalia; Rodentia; Muridae. The record is from RNAcentral.
UCCCUUCAGAUAACUCUCUCUAGUGUGUGUGU